GUGACCCAAAGAAGCUUGAGGAACUUGGAAGUGUGCUCACAAGCUUAGAUCCAGGGGACUCCAUUGUCAUCGCAAAAGCUUUCUCUCACAUGCUUAACUUAGCAAAUCUGGCAGAAGAGGUCCAGAUUGCUUACAGACGCAGGAUCAAGCUGAAGAAGGGUGACUUUGCUGAUGAAGCUAAUGCAACAACUGAAUCCGACAUUGAAGAAACUUUCAAGAGACUUGUGCAUCAGCUUAAGAAGUCACCUGAAGAGGUUUUUGACGCACUCAAGAAUCAAACAGUUGACUUGGUCUUGACUGCUCAUCCCACUCAAUCAGUCCGCAGAUCUUUGCUUCAGAAGCAUGGAAGG
RNAcentral lists this long non-coding RNA (350 nucleotides) under Lactuca sativa (garden lettuce). RNAcentral's name for it is "long non-coding RNA (LSAT_LNC007667)". The record is from RNAcentral. Lineage: Eukaryota; Viridiplantae; Streptophyta; Magnoliopsida; Asterales; Asteraceae.